CAGGAUUUUGGGCCUCCUUUCCCAGGAUUUUGGGCCUCUCUUCCUGGGAUUUUGAGCCUCUUUUCUUGGGAUUUUGGGCCUCAUUCCCCAGGAUUUUGGGCCUCAUUCCCUGGGAUUUUGGGCCUCUUUUCUCCCAGGAUUUUGGGCCUCUUUUCCCAGGAUUUUGAGCCUCUCUUCCUGGGAUUUUGAGCUCCUUUUAGUGGGAUUUUGAGCCUCUUUUCCCAGGAUUUGGGGCCCCUUUUAGUGGGAUUUUGGACCUCUUUUCCCAGGAUUUGGGGCCCCUUUUAGUGGGAUUUUGGGCCUCUUUUCCCAGGAUUUUAGGUCUUUUUUUCUUAGGAUUUUGGGCCUCUUUUCCUGUGAUUUUUAGGGCUCUUUUCCUGGGAUUUUGGGCCUCUUUCCUUGGGAUUUGGGGCCUUUUUUUGCCCAGGAUUUUGAUCCUCUUUUCCCAGGAUUUUGGGCCUCUUUUCCCAGGAUUUUGGGCCUCAUUCCCCAGGAUUUUGGGCCUCUUUUCUCCCAGGAUUUUUGACCUUUUUUGCCCAGGAUUUUGUGUCCCUUUUCCCGAGAUUUUUGACCUCUUUUCUUGGGAUUUGGGGCCUCUCUUCCUGGGAUUUUGGGCCUCCUUUCCCAGGAUUUUGGGCCUUUUUUUGCCCAGGAUUUUGGGCCUCUUUUCCCAGGAUUUUGGGCCCCUUUUCCUGGGAUUUUGGGCCCCUCUUCCCUGGGAUUUUUGGCCUCUUUUCCCGGGAUUUUGGGCCUCUUUUCUUGGGAUUUUGUGCCCCUUUUCCUGGGAUUUUUGGCCUCUUUUCCCAGGAUUUUGGGCCUCUUUUCCCAGGAUUUUUGGCCUCUCUUCCCUGCCUUUUGAGGAGGGAAUUCCCGGGGCUUUGGAUUCCCAAAUCCCUUCUCCAGAGGCCCGGGUGGGAAAGGAGGUGGAACUUUUCCCGGGAUCGGAGGCUCCAUCCCGGUGCUUCUCCUGUUAUCCUGGAAUGCUGGAUCCCUGAAAUCCCACUGGAUCCCAAAAUCCCACUGGAUCCCCAAAAUC
Molecule: long non-coding RNA, 1036 nt
Filed under: Manacus vitellinus (golden-collared manakin)
Lineage: Eukaryota; Metazoa; Chordata; Aves; Passeriformes; Pipridae
Description: lncRNA (ENSMVIG00005004111.1)
Source: RNAcentral